RNAcentral lists this ribosomal RNA (410 nucleotides) under uncultured microorganism. Its description in RNAcentral is "bacterial SSU rRNA". It matches the Rfam family "Bacterial small subunit ribosomal RNA", at positions 509 to 917 of the family's 1533-position model. The record is from RNAcentral.
CAGCAGCCGCGGUAAUACGUAGGUGGCAAGCGUUGUCCGGAAUUAUUGGGCGUAAAGCGCGCGCAGGCGGUUCCUUAAGUCUGAUGUGAAAUCUCGCGGCUCAACCGUGAGCGGUCAUUGGAAACUGGGGAACUUGAGUGCAGGAGAGAAGAGCGGAAUUCCACGUGUAGCGGUGAAAUGCGUAGAGAUGUGGAGGAACACCAGUGGCGAAGGCGGCUCUUUGGCCUGUAACUGACGCUGAGGCGCGAAAGCGUGGGGAGCAAACAGGAUUAGAUACCCUGGUAGUCCACGCCGUAAACGAUGAGUGCUAGGUGUUAGAGGGUUUCCGCCCUUUAGUGCUGCAGCUAACGCAUUAAGAACUCCGCCUGGGGAGUACGGCCGCAAGGCUGAAACUUAAAGGAAUUGGCGGG